This 479-nucleotide long non-coding RNA is filed under the name Phaseolus vulgaris (common bean). Its description in RNAcentral is "long non-coding RNA (PVUL_LNC001645)". Lineage: Eukaryota; Viridiplantae; Streptophyta; Magnoliopsida; Fabales; Fabaceae. The record is from RNAcentral.
GAGGAAGUAGAAGGCUUAGCUGACACAUUAAUUGUUGAACUUGUCAAUGAUGAUGUUAUCGAAACCGUAUGUGAUGAUGAUGAUGAAGAUGAGGUCAAUGAAUCAAGUCAAGAUGAUGAAGAACAUGAUGACAAUGAUAUGGACAAUUGGGACUUUGAAAACACUGAUGACUAAUGUAUAAUAUUUUUUAUUAUUUGACAACUAAUAUGAAAAUGUACCUAACUUAAUUGAUGAUGUCAUUUUUUUUAGGAGAAAUGCCGAGGACCAGAGGAAGGGAUGGUUCUGUUAUCAGACAUAACAAUGCUAGGCGUGGAGUUCACACAUCUAUGCAUGGUCGUCUUGCAAUAGAACUAGGGUCCAUCCCUUAUUCUGGCCCAUCAAACCAAUCCCGUUUUCCUCAAUCCUUCACGCCCUCUUCCUCCACCCCUUCUUCUUCUUUGACCCCUUCUUCCUCAACCCCCUCCUCUUCCUUUCGUUCU